This 426-nucleotide ribosomal RNA is filed under the name Clostridioides difficile. RNAcentral describes it as "bacterial LSU rRNA". It matches the Rfam family "Bacterial large subunit ribosomal RNA", at positions 2497 to 2925 of the family's 2925-position model. Lineage: Bacteria; Bacillati; Bacillota; Clostridia; Peptostreptococcales; Peptostreptococcaceae. The record is from RNAcentral.
AGUCCACAUCGACGGGGCGGUUUGGCACCUCGAUGUCGGCUCAUCACAUCCUGGGGCUGUAGUAGGUCCCAAGGGUUGGGCUGUUCGCCCAUUAAAGUGGUACGCGAGCUGGGUUCAGAACGUCGUGAGACAGUUCGGUCCCUAUCCGUCGCAGGCGUAGGAAAUUUGAGAAGACCUGUCCUUAGUACGAGAGGACCGGGAUGGACGUACCUCUGGUGUACCAGUUGUCCUGCCAAGGGCAUGGCUGGGUAGCUAUGUACGGAAUGGAUAAGCGCUGAAAGCAUCUAAGCGCGAAGCCAACUUCAAGAUAAGAUUUCCCACCGCAAGGGUAAGACCCCAGAAAGACUAUCUGGUUGAUAGGUCGAAGGUGUAAGUGCAGCAAUGUAUUUAGCUUAUCGAUACUAAUAGGUCGAGGACUUGACCAAU